AGAGUUGAUCCUGGCUAGGAGUGAACGCUAGCGACAGGCUAACACAUGCAAGUCGAGGGGCAUCACGGGAGUAGCAAUACAACUGGUGGCGACCGGCGCACGGGUGAGUAACGCGUAUGCAACCUACCUAUCAGAGGGGAAUAACCCGGCGAAAGUCGGACUAAUACCGCAUAAAACAGGGGCACCGCAUGGUGAUAUUUGUUAAAGAAAUUCGCUGAUAGAUGGGCAUGCGUUCCAUUAGGUAGUUGGUGAGGUAACGGCUCACCAAGCCGACGAUGGAUAGGGGAACUGAGAGGUUGGUCCCCCACACUGGUACUGAGACACGGACCAGACUCCUACGGGAGGCAGCAGUGAGGAAUAUUGGUCAAUGGGCGGGAGCCUGAACCAGCCAAGUCGCGUGAAGGAAGAAGGAUCUAUGGUUCGUAAACUUCUUUUGCAGGGGAAUAAAGUGCAGGACGUGUCCUGUUUUGUAUGUACCCUGAGAAUAAGGAUCGGCUAACUCCGUGCCAGCCGCCGC
RNAcentral lists this ribosomal RNA (517 nucleotides) under uncultured bacterium. RNAcentral describes it as "bacterial SSU rRNA". It matches the Rfam family "Bacterial small subunit ribosomal RNA", at positions 8 to 518 of the family's 1533-position model. The record is from RNAcentral.